AGAACGAACGCUGGCGGCAUGCCUAACACAUGCAAGUCGAACGUGAUCCAGGCUUCGGCCUGGUGAAAGUGGCAGACGGGUGAGUAACGCGUGGGAACCUGCCCUGUGGUAGGGAAUAACCGUGGGAAACUGCGGCUAAUACCCUAUGAGUCCUUCGGGAGAAAGAUUUAUCGCCAUAGGAGGGGCCCGCGUCGGAUUAGGUAGUUGGUGGGGUAACGGCCUACCAAGCCUUCGAUCCGUAGCUGGUCUGAGAGGAUGAUCAGCCACACUGGGACUGAGAUACGGCCCAGACUCCUACGGGAGGCAGCAGUGGGAAUAUUGGACAAUGGGGGCAACCCUGAUCCAGCAAUGCCGCGUGGAUGAUGAAGGCCUUCGGGUUGUAAAGUCCUUUCGGCGGGGAAGAGUGAUGACGGUACCGCAGAAGAAGCCCGGCUAACUUCGCGCCAGCAGGCCGC
Molecule: ribosomal RNA, 455 nt
Filed under: uncultured bacterium
Lineage: Bacteria
Description: SSU rRNA
Rfam family: Bacterial small subunit ribosomal RNA
Source: RNAcentral